Long non-coding RNA from Diorhabda carinulata, 1194 nucleotides. RefSeq lists it as uncharacterized. The record is from RefSeq and is a predicted model, not a curated record. The transcript is spliced from 2 exons. NCBI's taxonomy places the organism in Eukaryota, Metazoa, Arthropoda, Insecta, Coleoptera, Chrysomelidae.
AAGUUGUUGGUAGGCAUCCGCCCAUAGAUGAACCACAUUCUGCGAUUGAUUAUGUAUUUGUUUCUGUUACCAAAAUUAGACGGGGCAAUUUUUUAGGAACCAUUAUUUUUCAUGUAGCGUGUACUUAUUUUUGUGAUGAUUAAUUUCUGUAGAAUUUAUUUUGGACUUAUUGAAUUUGUUUACAAUGGUGCAGUGUGUUGUUUAUGGUUGUAAACACAGAAAUUAUAAAAAAGUACCAGGAUUAUCUUUUCACAGGAUCUACCAAGGAAAAGGACUUACACUAAAAGGAGCAACAUGUUGAAACCCCUCUUAAAAAGUACUGAAAAAGAAAAUAGCCAAGAGAAAAGUAGGAAAAUACGUAUACUUAGACAGUCUCUAAGAAGACAGAAACAAAAAAGUAGUAUCUCUAAAAUAUAUUAUUAAGACAUUACCUCAGAAAAAUAUGAUUUCAAGGGAUAAUAUCAUUUUAUUAGAAAGUAUGAAUAAUUUUCAAAAAGAAAUACUACAAAGUAAAGUUGUCAAGAAUGGAAAUAUACUCCAGAGUUAAAAGAAAUCGCUUUAUCACUAACUUUUUGUCUCCAAAGGUAUAUGUGAGAAAAGUUUUUGACACUUGUCUUCCUCAUCAAAGUACUAUCGGGAAAUGGUAUAAAACCAUUAAUACUGAACCAGGAUUUGCAAUGGAACCAUUGAAUGUUUUGAAAUCGUAUGUGGAAAAACAAAUCAAAACUGUUUUGUGUUCGUUGGUAAUGGAUGAAAUGGCUAUACGAAAACGUUUAAAAUGGGAUGGGAAAAUUUUUUUGGUUACAUCAACUUUGGAAUUGUAAUCAAUGUUGAUUCAAAUUAACGUAGCUGGGUUUGUAAUUAAAAAGUUAAAAAAAACUAUAAAGUGUGAGAAGUUUAUUGAUGCUUUAUCUGGAAAUAGAAAGAACUAUCUAAAUUCUCUAAUCACAUAAAAAAAUAGAGGAGUCUUAUUUAUCCAUCUGCAGAUGUGAUUGAAAUCUGUAAAUUAUGUGAAAAAUUUCUUAGAGUGUUCAAAGUUAAUUUGACUCAGAAAAGUUUUGUGAAUAUAUUAACCAGUUAAAUUGUAAGGCAUAAUAUCGGGAUGAACUUAUUCCAAACGCUUGUUUAGCAUAUUAUUAAAAAUUAUGUAAAUCAUGUUUAUUCUUCAAUAAAGUCUCUGUGUGUAUGAUUCAA